UACGUAGGGGGCUAGCGUUGUCCGGAAUCAUUGGGCGUAAAGCGCGUGUAGGCGGUCCGGUAAGUCCGCUGUGAAAGCCGAGGGCUCAACCCUCGAAUGCCGGUGGAUACUGUCGGGCUUGAGUACGGGAGAGGCGAGUGGAAUUCCUGGUGUAGCGGUGAAAUGCGCAGAUAUCAGGAGGAACACCGGUUGCGAAGGCAGCUCGCUGGAACGUUACUGACGCUGAGGCGCGAAAGCGUGGGGAGCAAACAGG
Molecule: ribosomal RNA, 253 nt
Filed under: uncultured bacterium
Lineage: Bacteria
Description: partial 16S ribosomal RNA
Rfam family: Bacterial small subunit ribosomal RNA
Source: RNAcentral